This 254-nucleotide ribosomal RNA is filed under the name uncultured bacterium. RNAcentral describes it as "partial 16S ribosomal RNA". It matches the Rfam family "Bacterial small subunit ribosomal RNA", at positions 524 to 776 of the family's 1533-position model. The record is from RNAcentral.
UACGUAGGGGUCUAGCGUUGUCCGGAAUUAUUGGGCGUAAAGAGCUCGUAGGCGGUUCGGCAAGUCGGAUGUGAAAUCUCCACGCUUAACGUGGAGGGGCCAUUCGAAACUGCCGUGACUCGAGUCCGGUAGGGGAGUGCGGAAUUCCCGGUGUAGCGGUGAAAUGCGCAGAUAUCGGGAAGAACACCUAUGGCGAAGGCAGCUCUCUGGGACGGUACUGACGCUGAGACGCGAAAGCGUGGGGAGCGAACAGG